This 305-nucleotide ribosomal RNA is filed under the name uncultured bacterium. Its description in RNAcentral is "bacterial SSU rRNA". It matches the Rfam family "Bacterial small subunit ribosomal RNA", at positions 333 to 655 of the family's 1533-position model. The record is from RNAcentral.
CUGCUCCUACGGGAGGCAGCAGUGGGGAAUAUUGCACAAUGGGGGAAACCCUGAUGCAGCAACGCCGCGUGAGUGAUGACGGCCUUCGGGUUGUAAAGCUCUGUCUUCAGGGACGAUAAUGACGGUACCUGAGGAGGAAGCCACGGCUAACUACGUGCCAGCAGCCGCGGUAAUACGUAGGUGGCGAGCGUUGUCCGGAUUUACUGGGCGUAAAGGGAGAGUAGGCGGACUUUUAAGUGAGAUGUGAAAUACUCGGGCUCAACUGGAGUGCUGCAUUUCAAACUGGUAGUCUAGAGUGCAGGAGG